RNAcentral lists this long non-coding RNA (2304 nucleotides) under Solanum lycopersicum (tomato). RNAcentral's name for it is "partial TCONS_00170009". Lineage: Eukaryota; Viridiplantae; Streptophyta; Magnoliopsida; Solanales; Solanaceae. The record is from RNAcentral.
GAAAUCUUAUCGUGAUCAUUUGUAUGAAUAGAUUGCUUGAGUUGGAAGUUCAACGAAAAUUAAAGGCUCAAGUCAUGGAGUGAGUUUUCGAUAAAUUGAGGCAAGUGGAUUUCUAAAUUCUUGUUAAGUGUAUGAAAUGCGUGUAUGUCCUUGUGGUAUAUGUUGGGAGUAACGGGAUUGGUGAUGGGUUGACUUGUCCACAUUGAUUUAUUUUAAUAAUGAAAAGAAUGGGGAUAACAAAAGACAAUGUGAUUAAUUGUUUAUGUCUGUUGUGUUGAGAAAGGGUUGAAGGCUUGUUGAAUCAUUGUUGAUGUAACUUCAUGUUUGUGUGGUUGUGAACUGUGUGAUGUUAUGAAAAUGGUCAUCUCCUCAUUAUAUGUGUGAACUUGUCAUCUGCAUUAUUCUGAGGCAUUUGUUGUGACAAGUGUUAUGUGCAUUAAGAAAGAAUGGGUACUUAAGAGGAUGUACCAUUUCGAGGGACGUAUCGCGCGCCGCGAUGGAUACUAUAUUUCGAGGGACAUAUCGUGCGCCGCGAUGGUUACUAUUAUCGAGGGUCGUGUCGUGCGCCGCGACAGAUGCAUGGACAGAUAUGUCCCCAUGGGUCCCGGACUAAGAGACAGCGGGUGUGUAUCACUAGGUCAGACAUGCAUCAUUAUACUUGACAUUGCAUUCCAUUGCAUUGCACAUACUUAUCAUUAGUGAACUUAAUAUCGUAUUUUACCGAUCUUCUGAUUGCCUUUCUGCGGAACUUGUGAUUGAUUAAUAUUGAGCUUCUUAUUGCGGAUAUGUAAUUUGUUGAAGUAUUCUUGUUGAGGAUAUGUAAUUUGUUGAAGUGUUGUUGUUGAGGAUAUGUAAUUUGUCUAAGUGUUGUUAUUGAGCUACGUGCUAUGUAAACUGUGAGCUGUUAGGUUUGGUUGAUUUUAAUGCAGGUUGUAGUUGUGGAGGUUUUGUUGGGGGUGUUAGGAGUACUCGUAUUUUUAUCCUCUUAGCUUGUGUUUAGACGUUUUACUUGCUGAGUACCGUGUGGUUUGAUACUCACCCCUUGCUUCUACAAAUUUUUGUAGGUUACUAGCCCGGACUUUUAUGAUAUAUUCUCUUCUUUUCCGAGGCUUCCUGGAGAUUUUGUGAGGUAGUUGUUGGUCAUCUCAGCAUCCCUCCUUACUCUUGUUUAUGAUUUUGUUCUACUCUAGAAACAAUAUCAUAAGAGACUUAUAUUUUCUUUUGAUCCGAUUGUAAUACUUUAGAGGCUUGUACACGUGACAACCAGGUUUUGGGGUAUAAUGUAAGUUGAUAGUAAAUUUUCCGCAUUUUUAUUGUAAUAGUUGAGUUUUAGGCUUACUUGUCUUGGUGGGAUAAGACGAGUGUCAUCACGUCCAUUUGUGGGUCGUGACAAAAUCAUAAUAUAUGUACACUGUUAUAAAAUACUGCCUCCGUUUUAAAAAGAAUAACCUCCUUUCCUUUUUAGUCCACUUUAAAAUAACUUUUUUUUUGUAACAUUUUAAAAUAAGUUUUUCACGUGGCAUGUUUAAGGCCACAAGAUCAAAGGACAAUUUUGUACAUUUAACAUAACUUUAAUUUAGGACCAUAAGAUACAAGAAUCUUCUUUAUACUCUUAAACUCCGUGCCAAGACUAAUCAGGUCAUUCUUUGUGAAACAGAGGGAGUAACUAGCAGAACAAACUAAAAUUAAUUAUAAGAAGAAUAAAUAAAGAGAGCAUAAUAUACAUUAAAUUUUUCUUACCUCUUGCUUUGUGAAUGAAAACAAUAAUUAUUUAUAGCUAAAUGGGAAAUAUAUAAACUAACAUUUUGACCAUUGAGAAGUUAUCUACUCGGCCAAGUGAUGACACCUCAAAAGUUGGUGGCUCCACAUGGCAUCAUUUUAGUAUGGUGAGUGAUGACACUUAAAGGGUGACCCACAUGACAUCCAUUUAGUUUUACAAUACUCCAAUUUGGAUGUCCAUGUUAAAGAAAAGUUGAAAAAACAAGAAUUUACAUAGAUAUUCAAAAUACUCAUUGUUUGCUGCUUCACUAAAAACCUUUGUAGAAAAACCAAGUGGGACGAAACCUAGAUUAAAGGAAAAAAGAGUGCAAUAUGUAUUUAACUCCCCCCGAUUAAGAUUACGAUUCAGAUGCUUAAGUCUGCACAUUUCAAUAUUUUGCACCAUCUUCUCGAGAGUUGAGACUGAUAAAACUUUGAUGAAUAAAUCUGCUGGAUUAUCACUCGAACAAAUUUGUUGUAUAUCAAUAUCAUCAUUUUUCUGAACUUUCUAAAACAUACAAGAAUGAAUAGAAAAAAUCAUAGAAC